This 24-nucleotide non-coding RNA is filed under the name Arabidopsis thaliana (thale cress). Lineage: Eukaryota; Viridiplantae; Streptophyta; Magnoliopsida; Brassicales; Brassicaceae. The record is from RNAcentral.
ACUCAACAACUAUGGCCUGAGGGU